RNAcentral lists this long non-coding RNA (903 nucleotides) under Salmo salar (Atlantic salmon). RNAcentral describes it as "lncRNA (ENSSSAG00000102621.1)". The record is from RNAcentral. Lineage: Eukaryota; Metazoa; Chordata; Actinopteri; Salmoniformes; Salmonidae.
CUGUAGGUGGAGGUAUGGGACUGUAGGUGGAGCUAUAGAGGUAUGGGACUGUAGGUGGAGGUAUAGAGGUAUGGGACUGUAGGUGGAGGUAUAGAGGUAUGGGACUGUAGGUGGAGCUAUAGAGGUAUGGGACUGUAGGUGGAGGUAUAGAGGUAUGGGACUGAAGGUGGAGGUAUAGAGGUAUGGGACUGUAGGUGUAGGUAAAGAGGUAUGGGACUGUAGGUGGAGGUAUAGAGGUAUGGGACUGUAGGUGGAGGUAUAGAAGUAUGGGACUGUAGGUGGAGGUAUAGAGGUAUGGGACUGUAGGUGGAGGUAUAGAGGUAUGGGACUGUAGGUGGAGGUAUGGGACUGUAGGUGGAGCUAUAGAGGUAUGGGACUGUAGGUGGAGGUAUAGUGGUAUGGGACUGUAGGUGGAGGUAUAGAGGUAUGGGACUGAAGGUGGAGGUUUGGGACUGUAGGUGGAGGUAUAGAGGUAUGGGACUGUAGGUGGAGGUAUAGAGGUAUGGGACUGUAGGUGGAGGUAUGGGACUGUAGGUGGAGCUAUAGAGGUAUGGGACUGUAGGUGGAGGUAUAGAGGUAUGGGACUGUAGGUGGAGGUAUAGAGGUAUGGGACUGUAGGUGUAGGUAAAGAGGUAUGGGACUGUAGGUGGAGGUAUAGAGGUAUGGGACUGUAGGUGGAGGUAUAGAGGUAUGGGACUGUAGGUGGAGGUAUAGAGGUAUGGGACUGUAGGUGGAGGUAUAGAGGUAUGGGACUGUAGGUGGAGGUAUAGAGGUAUGGGACUGUAGGUGGAGGUAUAGAGGUAUGGGACUGUAGGUGGAGGUAUAGAGGUAUGGGACUGUAAGUGGAGGUAUAGAGGUAUGGGACUGUAGGUGGAGGUAUAGAGGUAUGGGACUGUAGGUGGA